UACGGAGGAUCCAAGCGUUAUCCGGAAUCAUUGGGUUUAAAGGGUCCGUAGGCGGUUUUAUAAGUCAGUGGUGAGAUCCGGCAGCUCAACUGUCGAACUGCCAUUGAUACUGUAAGACUUGAAUUAUUAUGAAGUAACUAGAAUAUGUAGUGUAGCGGUGAAAUGCUUAGAUAUUACAUGGAUACCAAUUGCGAAGGCAGGUUACUAAUAAUAUAUUGACGCUGAUGGACGAAAGCGUGGGGAGCGAACAGG
RNAcentral lists this ribosomal RNA (252 nucleotides) under uncultured bacterium. RNAcentral's name for it is "partial 16S ribosomal RNA". It matches the Rfam family "Bacterial small subunit ribosomal RNA", at positions 524 to 776 of the family's 1533-position model. The record is from RNAcentral.